AUACGUAGGGCGCGAGCGUUGUCCGGAAUUAUUGGGCGUAAAGGGCUUGUAGGCGGUUUGUCGCGUCUGCCGUGAAAUUCCCUGGCUUAACUGGGGGCGUGCGGUGGGUACGGGCAGGCUUGAGUGUGGUAGGGGAGAUUGGAAUUCCUGGUGUAGCGGUGGAAUGCGCAGAUAUCAGGAGGAACACCGGUGGCGAAGGCGGAUCUCUGGGCCAUUACUGACGCUGAGGAGCGAAAGCGUGGGGAGCGAACAGGAUUAGAUACCCUGGUAGUCCACGCUGUAAACGUUGGGCACUAGGUGUGGGGGCCGUCCCUGGUUUCUGCGCCGUAGCUAACGCUUUAAGUGCCCCGCCUGGGGAGUACGGCCGCAAGGCUAAA
This 377-nucleotide ribosomal RNA is filed under the name uncultured Actinomyces sp. RNAcentral describes it as "bacterial SSU rRNA". It matches the Rfam family "Bacterial small subunit ribosomal RNA", at positions 523 to 898 of the family's 1533-position model. The record is from RNAcentral. Lineage: Bacteria; Bacillati; Actinomycetota; Actinomycetes; Actinomycetales; Actinomycetaceae.